GAUGAACGCUGGCGGCGUGCCUAAUACAUGCAAGUCGAGCGAACAGACGAGGAGCUUGCUCCUCUGACGUUAGCGGCGGACGGGUGAGUAACACGUGGAUAACCUACCUAUAAGACUGGGAUAACUUCGGGAAACCGGAGCUAAUACCGGAUAAUAUAUUGAACCGCAGGGUUCAAUAGUGAAAGACGGUUUUGCUGUCACUUAUAGAUGGAUCCGCGCCGCAUUAGCUAGUUGGUAAGGUAACGGCGUACCAAGGCAACGAUGCGUAGCCGACGUGAGAGGGUGAUCGGCCACGCUGGAACUGAGACACGGUCCAGACUCCUACGGGAGGCAGCAGUAGGGAAUCUUCCGCAAUGGGCGAAAGCUUGACGGAGCAACGCCGCGUGAGUGAUGAAGGUCUUCGGAUCGUAAAACUCUGUUAUUAGGGAAGAACAAAUGUGUAAGUAACUAUGCACGUCUUGACGGUACCUAAUCAGAAAGCCACGGCUAACUACGUG
This 497-nucleotide ribosomal RNA is filed under the name uncultured bacterium. RNAcentral's name for it is "partial 16S ribosomal RNA". It matches the Rfam family "Bacterial small subunit ribosomal RNA", at positions 28 to 507 of the family's 1533-position model. The record is from RNAcentral.